RNAcentral lists this ribosomal RNA (510 nucleotides) under Flavobacterium sp. FlavoEI_XDFr2BG5_B06_42. RNAcentral describes it as "bacterial SSU rRNA". It matches the Rfam family "Bacterial small subunit ribosomal RNA", at positions 60 to 572 of the family's 1533-position model. The record is from RNAcentral. Lineage: Bacteria; Pseudomonadati; Bacteroidota; Flavobacteriia; Flavobacteriales; Flavobacteriaceae.
AGUCGAGGGGUAUUAGUUUUCGGACUAGAGACCGGCGCACGGGUGCGUAACGCGUAUGCAAUCUACCUUUUACAGAGGGAUAGCCCAGAGAAAUUUGGAUUAAUACCUCAUAGUAUAAUGACUCGGCAUCGAGAUAUUAUUAAAGUCACAACGGUAAAAGAUGAGCAUGCGUCCCAUUAGCUAGUUGGUAAGGUAACGGCUUACCAAGGCUACGAUGGGUAGGGGUCCUGAGAGGGAGAUCCCCCACACUGGUACUGAGACACGGACCAGACUCCUACGGGAGGCAGCAGUGAGGAAUAUUGGACAAUGGGCGCAAGCCUGAUCCAGCCAUGCCGCGUGCAGGAUGACGGUCCUAUGGAUUGUAAACUGCUUUUAUACGAGAAGAAACACUGCUUCGUGAAGCAGCUUGACGGUAUCGUAAGAAUAAGGAUCGGCUAACUCCGUGCCAGCAGCCGCGGUAAUACGGAGGAUCCAAGCGUUAUCCGGAAUCAUUGGGUUUAAAGGGUCCGU